UGAGUUUGAUCCUGGCUCAGAUUGAACGCUGGCGGCAGGCCUAACACAUGCAAGUCGAACGGUAACAGGAAGAAGCUUGCUUCUUUGCUGACGAGUGGCGGACGGGUGAGUAAUGUCUGGGAAACUGCCUGAUGGAGGGGGAUAACUACUGGAAACGGUAGCUAAUACCGCAUAACGUCGCAAGACCAAAGAGGGGGACCUUCGGGCCUCUUGCCAUCGGAUGUGCCCAGAUGGGAUUAGCUUGUUGGUGGGGUAACGGCUCACCAAGGCGACGAUCCCUAGCUGGUCUGAGAGGAUGACCAGCCACACUGGAACUGAGACACGGUCCGGACUCCUACGGGACGCAGCA
Molecule: ribosomal RNA, 349 nt
Filed under: uncultured bacterium
Lineage: Bacteria
Description: bacterial SSU rRNA
Rfam family: Bacterial small subunit ribosomal RNA
Source: RNAcentral